Molecule: ribosomal RNA, 404 nt
Filed under: uncultured bacterium
Lineage: Bacteria
Description: bacterial SSU rRNA
Rfam family: Bacterial small subunit ribosomal RNA
Source: RNAcentral
AACGAACGCUGGCGGCGUGCCUAACACAUGCAGGUCGUGCGAGAAAGUUCCUUCGGGAGCGAGUAAAGCGGCGCACGGGUGAGUAACACGUAGGUAACCUGCCCCCCAGUCUGGAACAACUAGAGGAAACUCUAGCUAAUGCCGGAUGAGACCACGAUCCCUUCGGGGGUUGCGGCCAAAGAUGGCCUCUACUUGUAAGCUAUCGCUGAGGGAUGGGCCUGCGGGCCAUUAGCUUGUUGGUGAGGUAACGGCUCACCAAGGCUGUGAUGGCUAGCUGGUCUGAGAGGAUGACCAGCCACACUGGGACUGAGACACGGCCCAGACUCCUACGGGAGGCAGCAGUGGGGAAUAUUGCGCAAUGGGCGAAAGCCUGACGCAGCGACGCCGCGUGGGUGAUGAAGGCC